GAGAGCGAGGCCACUGGUGGAGCUCGAAGCUCUUUCCUACAGUAGGGAGGUACUGCGAUCUGUUCUCAACCUUCGCCGUAGACGGAUGAGCAGAUCGAAAAGGGCCGUCAGAAUCUCCGAAUACACUCGAUAACAACAUAAACCGCGUAUACAGUAACCCUAGGAUUUCCAUCCAUUCGACACAGCUCCAUGGUGACCCGAUACUGAUUUUUAAAGAGGAGGGCAUUCACUGGUUCAGCCGGAGAGGACUCUUGCUGCAAAAGCAGGGCUGAAAGAUGUGCAAUGGAAUGGUAGCGUGUGAGACAAGAGCCUCGCUCGCUCACAGUGUGGCCACCACAUCCCUGCUGCUCCUCCUCCUCGGCAUACUCCCCACAGCCCAAGCUUCAGGUGAGAUUAUUCACAAAAACCAUCUUCAUAUUCCUCCUACACCUAAAUCUUCCAAUGCCAUCCACUCUGACACUCUUCGAGCAUUGAUAUUUAAGAUGCAGACAACUGCCUUGUUGAUUUAGCAGGAAGUAAAAUCUCCUUAGAUUAGGAAAUAUGUAAAGUAAGUUGCAGGAAUGGAGGUGUCAGGCAUUAUUAUUUAAUUUAUCGUUCAUUGUAUUGUAUUGAAUUCGGUUUCUGCAUAAUUCUGAGUCACAGAUGGUUUAUAUUGGGAUGGUUUUUUGUCUGUUGGCAUGUAUGAUUCUUGACGUCGAAGACAAUGGUGUUUGUUCUUUUGUUUGUGUCGCUCUCAGUGCUGUGAUGACAGACAUAACCGCUGGACUUAAGAUACUGGAUGGAAUGAAAUGAGCAUCAUUUCUUUGUUUUCAGUCGAGCAUCUGGGAGGUGUUGAUGGGGGAUGGGCUUUCUCUUGUACGCCUGUUGCCCCUUUCUGUACGAGUCUCAUCCAGUGUCUCCAUCGCUAACAUAGCUCCAUUUCUUGCUCUGCAUGACAAACGUAGCCUGAAAACAAAGACAGAUGUCCAUAUUGACAGGCAGUUGAAGUGUUUCAAAUACCGAGGUGUGUGUAUGUGUGACCUCAGUCACUUGGGUGUUGUGUGUUUGUUUUUAUAAUGCUCAAGUAAUUCUUUAUCCCUAUUCAGAUGGGGCUAGUUGUUUAUAUAUAUAUCUGAGGAGGUCAGGUGAAUGUGUGGGUCAGCAUUUUG
Carassius auratus (goldfish) is the source of this 1148-nucleotide long non-coding RNA. RefSeq lists it as uncharacterized. The transcript has 2 exons. The record is from RefSeq and is a predicted model, not a curated record. NCBI's taxonomy places the organism in Eukaryota, Metazoa, Chordata, Actinopteri, Cypriniformes, Cyprinidae.